Non-coding RNA from Oryctolagus cuniculus (rabbit), 511 nucleotides. Lineage: Eukaryota; Metazoa; Chordata; Mammalia; Lagomorpha; Leporidae. The record is from RefSeq and is a predicted model, not a curated record.
CCCCUUCUUACGCAUGCGCAACUCAGCUGCUCCGUCUGCAGUCGGAAAGCGGUUUUUACCUGCCCACCUACAGAAACUACAUCAUUAGCUCCAUUUACAGAGGAGGAAACUGAGCUCCCUUGCCUAAGGGGUUGAUGUUGCAAUCUUUGCUCCGUGGGAGGAGGACCCCAUGCUCACAGCUGUCCCCCAUGUAAGAGGAUAGAGGUGUCCAGAAGCCCUCAUCCCUGCCUGGCCCAGCCUCACCGUGGCUCUGUCCUGCCUUUGCCAUGAGAGUAUCAGCCCCUGCCUGCUGCCUCCCCCAGGGGCUGCAGCCUCCCUCUGCAGCUCUGCCUUGUGGGCUGGUGGGGUGGGAGCGAGCUCACUAGGCCAGAUGGGCUGAGUGGAGCCCAAAGUGGCAGGCUGGUGGUAUUCAAGCCUAUUUUUAUCCAGAAAAAAAUCUGUUCUGUAUUUUACUCCACUUUGGGGCAAGGAGAGGUCAAGGCUCCUCACCUUCGCUGUAAGAUGAGAACGC